This 74-nucleotide transfer RNA is filed under the name Chitinophagaceae bacterium. RNAcentral describes it as "tRNA-Pro". It matches the Rfam family "tRNA". Rfam says of the family: Transfer RNA (tRNA) molecules are approximately 80 nucleotides in length. Their secondary structure includes four short double-helical elements and three loops (D, anti-codon, and T loops). Further hydrogen bonds mediate the characteristic L-shaped molecular structure. tRNAs have two regions of fundamental functional importance: the anti-codon, which is responsible for specific mRNA codon recognition, and the 3' end, to which the tRNAs corresponding amino acid is attached (by aminoacyl-tRNA synthetases). tRNAs cope with the degeneracy of the genetic code in two manners: having more than one tRNA (with a specific anti-codon) for a particular amino acid; and 'wobble' base-pairing, i.e. permitting non-standard base-pairing at the 3rd anti-codon position. Lineage: Bacteria; Pseudomonadati; Bacteroidota; Chitinophagia; Chitinophagales; Chitinophagaceae. The record is from RNAcentral. RNAcentral also lists the same sequence under 5 other names.
CGGGAUGUAGCGCAGCCCGGUAGCGCACUUCGUUCGGGACGAAGGGGCCGCUGGUUCGAAUCCAGUCAUCCCGA